UGCUAGGUUACGUUAGAAACAGGUAGCCCUG
This 31-nucleotide non-coding RNA is filed under the name Mus musculus (house mouse). The record is from RNAcentral. Lineage: Eukaryota; Metazoa; Chordata; Mammalia; Rodentia; Muridae.